Cordylochernes scorpioides is the source of this 75-nucleotide non-coding RNA. The record is from the annotation of a GenBank genome assembly. NCBI's taxonomy places the organism in Eukaryota, Metazoa, Arthropoda, Arachnida, Pseudoscorpiones, Chernetidae.
UGUCCAGGGGCGGGAAUCGAACCUUCUGCUUACCGGGCAGGUGCCAUGUCCACUAGGCGAUUCCCGCCCCUGGAC